RNAcentral lists this ribosomal RNA (172 nucleotides) under Tina chapelieriana. RNAcentral's name for it is "5.8S ribosomal RNA". It matches the Rfam family "5.8S ribosomal RNA". From Rfam's summary of the family: 5.8S ribosomal RNA (5.8S rRNA) is a component of the large subunit of the eukaryotic ribosome. It is transcribed by RNA polymerase I as part of the 45S precursor that also contains 18S and 28S rRNA. Functionally, it is thought that 5.8S rRNA may be involved in ribosome translocation. The record is from RNAcentral. Lineage: Eukaryota; Viridiplantae; Streptophyta; Magnoliopsida; Sapindales; Sapindaceae.
UCAUUAUCCAUAACGACUCUCGGCAACGGAUAUCUCGGCUCUCGCAUCGAUGAAGAACGUAGCGAAAUGCGAUACUUGGUGUGAAUUGCAGAAUCCCGUGAACCAUCGAGUCUUUGAACGCAAGUUGCGCCCGAAGCCCUUAGGCUGAGGGCACGUCUGCCUGGGUGUCACG